GACGAACGCUGGCGGCGUGCUUAACACAUGCAAGUCGAACGGAAAGGCCCUGCUUUUGUGGGGUGCUCGAGUGGCGAACGGGUGAGUAACACGUGAGUAACCUGCCCUUGACUUUGGGAUAACUUCAGGAAACUGGGGCUAAUACCGGAUAGGAGCUCCUGCUGCAUGGUGGGGGUUGGAAAGUUUCGGCGGUUGGGGAUGGACUCGCGGCUUAUCAGCUUGUUGGUGGGGUAGUGGCUUACCAAGGCUUUGACGGGUAGCCGGCCUGAGAGGGUGACCGGCCACAUUGGGACUGAGAGACGGCCCAGACUCCUACGGGAGGCAGCAGUGGGGAAUAUUGCAGAAUGGGCGGAAGCCUGAUGCAGCAACGCCGCGUGCGGGAUGACGGCCUUCGGGUUGUAAACAGAUUUCGCCUGUGACGAAGCGUGAGUGACGGUAAUGGGUAAAGAAGCACCGGCUAACUACGUG
RNAcentral lists this ribosomal RNA (468 nucleotides) under uncultured bacterium. Its description in RNAcentral is "partial 16S ribosomal RNA". It matches the Rfam family "Bacterial small subunit ribosomal RNA", at positions 28 to 507 of the family's 1533-position model. The record is from RNAcentral.